UACGUAGGGUGCAAGCGUUGUCCGGAAUUAUUGGGCGUAAAGAGCUCGUAGGCGGCUUGUCGCGUCGUCCGUGAAAACCUGCAGCUCAACUGCAGGCUUGCGGUCGAUACGGGCAGGCUAGAGUUCGGUAGGGGAGACUGGAAUUCCUGGUGUAGCGGUGAAAUGCGCAGAUAUCAGGAGGAACACCGAUGGCGAAGGCAGAUCUCUGGGCCGUAACUGACGCUGAGGAGCGAAAGCAUGGGGAGCGAACAGG
RNAcentral lists this ribosomal RNA (253 nucleotides) under uncultured bacterium. RNAcentral describes it as "partial 16S ribosomal RNA". It matches the Rfam family "Bacterial small subunit ribosomal RNA", at positions 524 to 776 of the family's 1533-position model. The record is from RNAcentral.